Molecule: transfer RNA, 73 nt
Filed under: Ovis aries (sheep)
Lineage: Eukaryota; Metazoa; Chordata; Mammalia; Artiodactyla; Bovidae
Rfam family: tRNA
About the family: Transfer RNA (tRNA) molecules are approximately 80 nucleotides in length. Their secondary structure includes four short double-helical elements and three loops (D, anti-codon, and T loops). Further hydrogen bonds mediate the characteristic L-shaped molecular structure. tRNAs have two regions of fundamental functional importance: the anti-codon, which is responsible for specific mRNA codon recognition, and the 3' end, to which the tRNAs corresponding amino acid is attached (by aminoacyl-tRNA synthetases). tRNAs cope with the degeneracy of the genetic code in two manners: having more than one tRNA (with a specific anti-codon) for a particular amino acid; and 'wobble' base-pairing, i.e. permitting non-standard base-pairing at the 3rd anti-codon position.
Source: Rfam by way of RNAcentral
UCCCUGGUGGUCCGGUGGUUAAGACUCUGCAUUUGCAGUUCAGGGGGCACGGGUUCAAUUCCUGGUCAGGGAA